RNA transcript from Lycium ferocissimum, 1207 nucleotides. RefSeq lists it as uncharacterized. NCBI's taxonomy places the organism in Eukaryota, Viridiplantae, Streptophyta, Magnoliopsida, Solanales, Solanaceae. The record is from RefSeq and is a predicted model, not a curated record. The transcript has 4 exons.
GCGUAAAUUAUUUUGCUCUUUCAAGAAGACAAAAAGUUCCAAGAAAAAGUGAUAAACAAAAAAUGCCAACUCUAAAUCUGUUCACAAAUGUGCCAGUAGAUGCAAUAAUAGCUUCUGAUAUUCUUAAAGAUGCUACUAAAGCUGUUGCUAAAAUUAUUGGCAAACCCGAGUCCGUUAAGUUUUUUGUCCAUUUUGGUUUUAUGUCUUUAUAUUGCACAUGGACUGAUACAUGUUUGAUGAAAUUCCCCUGAGAAAAGUUUAUCAACUUCUUUUACUCAAGAGACUGGGAAUUUUCAUGUGGGGUUUUGUUUUUUUUUUCCCCCCCUUUUUUUUUGGUCAGUAUAACCAUAUGCUAUUAGGAAUUCACUGCCCCGACUAAUCCAUAACAUUGAAAUUACACCCUAUGACCUUGAAAAUAGAUGGUUUUAAACUUUUGACCCCCAAUUGUCCAGUGGGCAAACCUUAAAGGUUAAAAGGCAAAAUUUAUUGCCCUUAAAGUUCUGCUUAUGGGGCAAGCGGGAUUAAAAGUUUCAAGACCAUCCACCUGCAAGGCCAUUCUUGUAAAUUCGGGGGAUAUUGCUGAUUCUGUGAUCUAUUCCAGAUGUGCAAAGGAACUAUGGACAAGCCUUGAGCACAGGUUUGGUCAAUCUAAUGGAGCAAAGCUCUAUCACUUGCAAAAACAACUUUCUACUUUAGUGCAGGUUGUGUGUGCAUCUGUGAAGGGAAAGACAAACUACAGAAAUCUUUGGAGGAUGAGAGACUCAUUCAGUUUCUCAUGGGUUUAAAUGACAUCUACUCACAAGCUAGGGAUUCCUCUUCCUUUAUGGUUAGAAACCAACCACACAUCAGGAAAACAAAUACAAAGGAAUGCAGGACCUGUUUUUCAUCAGAAUCAGAAACCAGCAGGUCAAAAUACUGGUUAUCAAAGAACAGGAAACAACAAUCAGAAAUUUCACCCAAACAAAGGAAGAAAAUCUAAGUAUAAUCCUAAUGCUACUUGUACUUAUUGCAAAAAGACAGGUCACUUUGUGGAUGACUGUUACAGGUUAAUUGGAUUUCCUGAUGAUUUCCAAUUCACAAAUUCAAAGAAUAUUGAGGCACCAAUCAGAUGCAAUGGUAUGAUGACAGGAGAAGAUUCAGAAGAAGCAAGCAACACAAACAUGGACAUCAAUUUCAUCAGUCAACACCUCAACAGGAAACAAAUUUC